GAUGAACGCUGGCGGCGUGCCUAAUACAUGCAAGUCGAGCGAACGGACGAGAAGCUUGCUCCUCUGAUGUUAGCGGCGGACGGGUGAGUAAAACGUGGAUAACCUACCUAUAAGACUGGGAUAACUUCGGGAAACCGGAGCCAAUACCGGAUCAUACUUUCAACCGCAUGGUUCAAAAGUGAAAGACGGUCUUGCUGUCACUUAUAGACGGAUCCGCGCUGCAUUAGCUAGUUGGUAAGGUAACGGCUUACCAAGGCAACGAUGCAUAGCCGACAUGAGAGGGUGAUCGGCCACACUGGAACUGAGACACGGUCCAGACUCCUACGGGAGGCAGCAGUAGGGAAUCUUCCGCAAUGGGCGGAAGCCUGACGGAGCAACGCCGCGUGAGUGAUGAAGGUCUUCGGAUCGUAAAACUCUGUUAUUAGGAAAGAACAGAUGUGUAAGUAACUGUGCACAUCUUGACGGUACCUAAACAGAAAGCCACGGCUAACUACGUG
This 497-nucleotide ribosomal RNA is filed under the name uncultured bacterium. RNAcentral describes it as "partial 16S ribosomal RNA". It matches the Rfam family "Bacterial small subunit ribosomal RNA", at positions 28 to 507 of the family's 1533-position model. The record is from RNAcentral.